CGUAGGUGGCAAGCGUUGUCCGGAUUUACUGGGCGUAAAGGGCGUGCAGGCGGCCUGUUAAGUCUAGGGUGAAAGCUCCCGGCUCAACUGGGAGAGGUCCUUGGAUACUGGCGGGCUUGAGGGAGGUAGAGGAGAAUGGAAUUCCCGGUGUAGUGGUGAUAUGCGUAGAUAUCGGGAGGAACACCUGUGGCGAAGGCGGUUCUCUGGGCCUUACCUGAUGCUGAGACGCGAAAGCGUGGGGAGCGAACCGGAUUAGAUACCCGGGUAGUCCACGCCGUAGACUAUGGACACUAGGUGUGGGGGGUAUCGACCCCCUCCGUGCCGAAGCUAACGCAAUAAGUGUCCCGCCUGGGGAGUACGGCCGCAAGGCUA
This 372-nucleotide ribosomal RNA is filed under the name uncultured organism. RNAcentral describes it as "bacterial SSU rRNA". It matches the Rfam family "Bacterial small subunit ribosomal RNA", at positions 526 to 896 of the family's 1533-position model. The record is from RNAcentral.